Molecule: ribosomal RNA, 253 nt
Filed under: uncultured bacterium
Lineage: Bacteria
Description: partial 16S ribosomal RNA
Rfam family: Bacterial small subunit ribosomal RNA
Source: RNAcentral
UACAGAGGUCUCAAGCGUUGUUCGGAAUUAUUGGGCGUAAAGAGCUUGUAGGCGGUCUGUCGCGUCUGCUGUGAAAAUCCGGGGCUCAACCCCGGACUUGCAGUGGGUACGGGCAGACUAGAGUGUGGUAGGGGAGACUGGAAUUCCUGGUGUAGCGGUGAAAUGCGCAGAUAUCAGGAGGAACACCGAUGGCGAAGGCAGGUCUCUGGGCCACUACUGACGCUGAGAAGCGAAAGCAUGGGGAGCGAACAGG